CCCUUAGAUGUCCUGGGCCGCACGCGCGCUACACUGAGUGUCUGAGAUACGAGUCUGCCUGGUCCGGCAAGGUCUAGGUAAUCGCUAAAAGACACAUCAUGCUUGGGAUAGAUUAUUGCGAAUAUUAAUCUUGAACGAGGAAUUCCUAGUAAGCGCAAGUCAACAGCUUGCGUUGAUUACGUCCCUGCCCUUUGUACACACCGCCCGUCGCUACUACUGAUUGGAUGUUUAAGCGAGGUUCUCGAACUGCUAGCGACUUAGCUUCGGUGAGGUCGCAGUGUGGGAAGUGAACCUAGCUUUGGUGUCUAGAGGAAGUAAAAGUCGUAACA
This 329-nucleotide ribosomal RNA is filed under the name uncultured eukaryote. RNAcentral's name for it is "partial 18S ribosomal RNA". It matches the Rfam family "Eukaryotic small subunit ribosomal RNA", at positions 1470 to 1796 of the family's 1831-position model. The record is from RNAcentral.